CAAUAGCGUAUAUUUAAGUUGUUGCAGUUAAAAAGCUCGUAGUUGGAUUUCGGUUAAGAGCGACCGGUCCGCCGUUUGGUGUGCACUGGUUGGUUUUAACUUCCUGUAGAGGACGUGCUCUGGGUUUAACGACCUGGACUCGGAGUCUACGUGGUUACUUUGAAAAAAUUAGAGUGUUCAAAGCGGGCUUACGCUUGAAUAUUUCAGCAUGGAAUAACACUAUAGGACUCCUGUCCUAUUUCGUUGGUCUCGGGACGGGAGUAAUGAUUAAGAGGAACAGUUGGGGGCAUUCGUAUUUCAUUGUCAGAGGUGAAAUUCUCGGAUUUAUGAAAGACGAACUUCUGCGAAAGCAUUUGCCAAGGAUGUUUUCAUUAA
RNAcentral lists this ribosomal RNA (375 nucleotides) under uncultured eukaryote. RNAcentral describes it as "partial 18S ribosomal RNA". It matches the Rfam family "Eukaryotic small subunit ribosomal RNA", at positions 592 to 976 of the family's 1831-position model. The record is from RNAcentral.